Molecule: long non-coding RNA, 1303 nt
Organism: Oreochromis aureus
Lineage: Eukaryota; Metazoa; Chordata; Actinopteri; Cichliformes; Cichlidae
Exons: 2
Source: RefSeq, a predicted model, not a curated record
CAGCUGAUCUUUCUGUCAAAUAACUUAAUGAAACCCUGAAAUACAAUAAAUAUUUUCAGGUCCUUGAAGUACACACGGGUGGGGGCUGGAAACCCACUCCACCUGUCACAGUCUGAAGACAGAAUGUGGUUUCUGUUCAGUGUGUGAGGAUCAGUAUGAUGUAUAAUAAUGUGAGUAAACUUCAGCAGGUUCAUGUCUGUGAUGUAGAGAACAGGAACAAGCAGAGGUGCCCUGGAUGUUUGAUCUGUGCUCUGAUAAUUCAGCGUAUCACCAUGUGGGACAGGAGACUGGCCAGUACAAGUUACAGCCUGUCAGAGUGUCGCUCACAUUUACUGACAAACAACAGAUGCAUCUGUUACUGAACUAAAUGAUGAAACCAGCCAACAGUAAAUCAGGUGCUUCACACUAACUCCACAUGACAUUCAUCUGUAACCAGCUGAACCAGUUAGUGGUAACAGUAACUGGUUAUUCCACUAACGCUCACAGAUUUCAGUCAACCUGUCAGAUUAACUAAAAGACUGAAAGAUGUCAUUUUAAACUGUUACUGUUGUUCUGAAGGAUCCCUGACACAGUCUUCUGAUCAUCAGGAUGGAGAAAUUAUCCACUUGAAGCAACAAACCCUCGACACACCUGUGUGAUAUCAUAGCAACAUUUUAGAAACCACAUUCCUGUCUUCUGUAGCUUCAUACAUACAUAUUUCCAAUCCAACUUUAUUUGUAGAUUACUUUAAAAACAAAAUGGUUUACCAAAGUGCUUUCUAGAGUAUUUCACAACAGAUAAAUUUACAAAGUAACAGAAAGUCAACAUGUUUGAGUUAAACAGAUAGAUAUGUAGAGACAAUCUCUCAACACACUCUGUUUAGUGGGAAGUUGUCUGACUGAGAAUGGAGAUCAACUUGGUCCAAAGAAUUAACUUCAAAGCUCGCAUGUCUCUAAACAUGUUGUAAAAUGUUAUGUACAACGUGUUUAGAUAGGAGUCAAACAAGAAGAGGCGGCUUUUUGUAAUCCUUUACACACAAUACCAACAAAACCAACCUUGAUUGUUCAAAAUAUAUGUUACCUUUAAAAACUAAAAUAAAUAAAUAAAUAAAUAAAAACAAAGCAUUCAUCAUAAAUCCAGCAGGAAUGAUCCCAUACACAUGAAUAAAAAAACCCACUCACACUUACCAUUGAUCCACUCAUUAAAUCAUGAAAUUAUAUGUUAUGAAAUUAUCAUGGCUUAAAACCACUAAUUUGCAAAAACCACAUUAAUAAAUUUUAGACCACUUACUCUAAGUGUCAACAUCUAUAGACUUUUAAAAAGU